This 2148-nucleotide long non-coding RNA is filed under the name Bemisia tabaci. RNAcentral's name for it is "lncRNA ENSSSA3NGG003213". Lineage: Eukaryota; Metazoa; Arthropoda; Insecta; Hemiptera; Aleyrodidae. The record is from RNAcentral.
AUGAAAUUAGAAAAACAAAACAAAGUUGAAUAUUUUCCAACACUAUUGUACCUUGGAUUUCUGUACAUUCUAAAUAAUUUUAUAGAAAUUACCAAUAACAGGUAUAAGAAAAGCUCUCUAUUUAAAAAUAUUGUUUUAGUUCUUACUGAAAGUCUGCGAAAUGGGCAUUUCAAGUAUGAGCAAAUAGUUAAUUUCUUCUUAACCAGCAACUUUCACGCUCAUUGUUAUAAAUUAAUUGAUUAUAUAGGGGUGAUCAAAUCCCAGAAUACUUUAAACCAAUUGAAGAACAAUGGCAAAUCUAGUCAGGAUGAAGAAAAUGCAGUACAUGUACCUGUUAGAAAAAUUUCCUAUAGGAUGGUGGAUUCCCAAAUGGUCAUCGAAUAUUCAAAAACUUUGGAGGAGGUUGAAACAAGAAGAGAAGCUUUGAAGAAUGCCAACAUACCUCAAGGUGAUUCGACCAUGACUCAACCCUCGAUUCCAACAACAUCAACUCCGAAAUCUCAAACAUUCACUCCAUCCAUUCCAUUUAACCAUCAACCGAACCAACAAACUAUGAACCAACCAAGUGUAAUAGUAUCGUCUUCCACAAAUCCAAUUAAACAUUCUCCUGCGUCAGAUGUCAAAGCCAGAAAUCCACAAACUUCCAGCACUAUUUCAGCUGCUGUUUCCAAACUGCCAUUUGUCACAGUUGUUCCUCGUAAAACAAAUGAAAAUUUGACUCUUCAUAACUUAUUAGCCAGCAAUAAGGUUCCAAGUGAUAUAAGUGUUAAAUCUCUAGCCUCUCAAAACCAGCCAACAUCUGUUAUUCGAACACCCCAACAAGCUCAAGCCCCCAAUACGCCUAGACUUGCACCUCUCUCCACAACCUCAAAUGCUGCUACCAUUGAUAAAAGAGUGAAGAAAUUGUCCAAUAUCACAAUAACUGCCACAUCUGUACCUGAGAAGACUGUAUCACCAAGACAACCUGGGUCAGCUGUCAAAACAACAAUAGCAUCAACACUCCCACCUGGAAAUGCUACAUUUCCGAAGCAACCUGGAUCAAUGGUCAAAACACCAAUAACCUCCACAUCUGUUUCUGGAAACGCUGUAUUUGCAAAACAACUUGGAUCAGCACCAAUUCAAGUUGUACGUCCUCUUCUGCAGACCAAGCCUGCUCCGGCCAAUACAAUCAGGCCAGGUGAUCGUGUUGGUACCAUUAGUAAAACCCCAGAAUUCACCCCCAGAAAUAGUCCACCCAUGAAAGCCAGUUUAGCUAAUCAGCCUAUAGUUAGAACCAAUACAGCCAAUUCGUCCUUGGUUAGAGCCUUUGGUAAAAAACCAGUAGCCCAGAAAGUCAAUAAUCCAACUAGACCACCGCCGCCAUAUCCUGAAAAUCCUACAAAUGUUGGACCGGCAUUGUAUCAACCCACUGUUAGUUGUUUGGAACAAGCACUUUUAGCCGAUGCAUCCCUAUUAAACUCUGGUGUUCCUUCAAAUCAAUUGCAAAACAACCUACAAGUUAAUAAAAACACCAAUAGUAAUUUUCUUCCAAACAACAUUGUCUCUGUCACAAAACCCUCUAGUGUUCCUCCAAAUUGUCAGCCAACCAAUUUUUAUCAACCAGAUUUUCAAAAUCCAUCACAAUAUUUAGCCCAAAAUUCAUCAGUACUCGAUAAUCAAACAAUGAACAACAAUUUUCAGUCUUCCGCAAGUAACCAAAAUGUGCAACAGUACCAAACACUGCAAACUCAAAGCUUCAGUGCUGACUUUGGCUCCAGCACAAUUAACACCUCACUUCUACUGGACAGUAAUCAGAUUUUAUACAAUGAUAUGCUGAAUCAAAACAAUUCAACAAUGUACUACAAUAAUUAUGUUCCACCAAUAGCAACAAAUCAAAUGCAAAAUCAAAUAUCGGGGACUCAAGUCUACUCUCAAGUUGCACAAAAUCAGUCGCAAAAUCAGCUGCAGUCAGGAACUAUGAGUCAGUUUCAACCUACUGUCUUGCCACAACCCAUCAACCAAACAAUGCAGGAACCUAAUCAAUACUUCUCAACACCCACACCUAAUGGCACUGUUCAUUGGCAAAACGCAGCUUUUUCAAAUCCUCCCAUGGUUCAGUCUUUCCAGAAUCCGUUAUCCUAUCAAAAUUCCUUUGGUCAGGGUCUGUGA